GCGCGGUAGCUCAGUUGGUUAGAGCGAUCGACUCAUAAUCGAUAGGUCGGGAGUUCAAGUCUCCCCCACGC
This 71-nucleotide transfer RNA is filed under the name Loktanella salsilacus. It matches the Rfam family "tRNA". Rfam says of the family: Transfer RNA (tRNA) molecules are approximately 80 nucleotides in length. Lineage: Bacteria; Pseudomonadati; Pseudomonadota; Alphaproteobacteria; Rhodobacterales; Roseobacteraceae. The record is from RNAcentral. RNAcentral also lists the same sequence under 19 other names.